This 253-nucleotide ribosomal RNA is filed under the name uncultured bacterium. Its description in RNAcentral is "partial 16S ribosomal RNA". It matches the Rfam family "Bacterial small subunit ribosomal RNA", at positions 524 to 776 of the family's 1533-position model. The record is from RNAcentral.
UACGUAGGGUGCGAGCGUUAAUCGGAAUUACUGGGCGUAAAGCGUGCGCAGGCGGUUAUGCAAGACAGAUGUGAAAUCCCCGGGCUCAACCUGGGAACUGCAUUUGUGACUGCAUGACUGGAGUACGGCAGAGGGGGAUGGAAUUCCGCGUGUAGCAGUGAAAUGCGUAGAUAUGCGGAGGAACACCGAUGGCGAAGGCAAUCCCCUGGGCCUGUACUGACGCUCAUGCACGAAAGCGUGGGGAGCAAACAGG